GGGGUAGGUUUAGUACGUAGGCGUCAUAGAUGGCGAAUCGUGCAUGCUACUGGCGCGGCUAGUAGUAUCUAUGAAGAUUUUCAACUCC
This is a non-coding RNA of Glossina brevipalpis, 88 nucleotides long. The record is from Rfam. NCBI's taxonomy places the organism in Eukaryota, Metazoa, Arthropoda, Insecta, Diptera, Glossinidae.